Molecule: long non-coding RNA, 312 nt
Organism: Oncorhynchus tshawytscha (Chinook salmon)
Lineage: Eukaryota; Metazoa; Chordata; Actinopteri; Salmoniformes; Salmonidae
Source: Ensembl
CUUGUAUACUGCCCUGACAAAUGAGGCCUAUGAGGAGUUCUGACACGCUGUGUCGAAACUUGAUAUGUUGCGCCGUCUGGCCCCAGAAACUGCCAAUGGAACCAAGUGCUCACUCUGUCCCAAGUUUGUCAAAUGCAGUGUACCUGCUGCGAGAGAUGGAGGGGAUGAGAGGCAAGAACAUCAAUCUCUUCUUCAUGUAUGACAUUGCAUGCAAGAUGCAGCCACAUGUGCAAAAACUUUCCUGAAUUGAAGCAUGAGACCAAGUUCGUUAUGCCAGUUUUCCAUGCUUAUGGACAUGACUUGCCAUGUCAG